RNAcentral lists this ribosomal RNA (454 nucleotides) under Parvimonas micra. RNAcentral describes it as "bacterial SSU rRNA". It matches the Rfam family "Bacterial small subunit ribosomal RNA", at positions 28 to 485 of the family's 1533-position model. Lineage: Bacteria; Bacillati; Bacillota; Tissierellia; Tissierellales; Peptoniphilaceae. The record is from RNAcentral.
GACGAACGCUGCCGGCGUGUUUAACACAUGCAAGUCGAACGUGAUUUUUGUGAAAUUCUUUCGGAAUGAAAUGGAAAUAAAAGUGGCGAACGGUGAGUAACACGUGAGCAACCUACCUUACACAGGGGGAUAGCCGUUGGAAACGACGAUUAAUACCGCAUGAGACCACAGAAUCGCAUGAUAUAGGGGUCAAAGAUUUAUCGGUGUAAGAAGGGCUCGCGUCUGAUUAGCUAGUUGGAAGGGUAAAGGCCUACCAAGGCGACGAUCAGUAGCCGGUCUGAGAGGAUGAACGGCCACAUUGGAACUGAGACACGGUCCAAACUCCUACGGGAGGCAGCAGUGGGGAAUAUUGCACAAUGGGGGGAACCCUGAUGCAGCGACGCCGCGUGAGCGAAGAAGGUUUUCGAAUCGUAAAGCUCCUGUCCUAUGAGAAGAUAAUGACGGUAUCAUAGGA